AUGGAGCUCUUCCUCUACGCAACGUACGCCCUCCUCCUCGUCUUCUCUCUGUACGUCCUCCGCCACUUCGCCGGCGCCCGCCGCAACCUGCCGCCGGGUCCCCCAUCAUGGCCUCUCAUCGGAAACCUCCUCGACCUCGGCGCCCAGCCGCACCGCUCCCUCGCGCGCCUCGCGGAGCGCCACGGCCCGCUCAUGACGCUCCGCCUCGGCGCCCUCACCACCGUGAUCGCCUCCACCGCGGACACCGCCCGCGACGUCCUCCAGCGCCACGACGCCGCCUUCUCCGCGCGCUCCGUGUCCGACGCCGCCCGCGCGUGCGCCUACGACAGCCUCUCCAUGGGCUGGCUCCCGCCCAGCAGCCCCCACUGGCGCGCCCUCCGCAAGCUCUGCUCGGGGGAGCUCUUCGCGCCGCACCGCCUCGACGCGCACCAGUCCAUCCGCCGCGAGAAGGUGCAGCAGCUCGUGUCCCACGUCGCCCGGCUGUCGCGGGAGGGCGCGGCCGUGGACGUCAGCCGCGUCGUUUUCACCACCGCGCUGAACCUGCUCUCCUGCACCAUAUUCUCAGCCGACAUCGCCGACCUCGACGACAGAGAAGGAACGGGGCAGUUCAGGGCCGUGAUCGCGAGCUUCACGGAGGUCGUCGGCCUGCCCAACCUGUCGGACUUCUUCCCUGCUGUCGCGCCGCUCGACCCACAGCGGCUGAGGAAGCGCCUCGCCGCGGUGUUCAUGCGGCUGCAUGCCAUAUUCGAUGAGCAGAUCGAGAGGCGCAUGCGGCAGCGCACCGCCGGCGAGCCGCCCAAGGAUGAUUUCCUGGACGUGUUGCUGGACUACCGCGGCCUGGAGGAUGGCCGGGGACUCGAUCGGGAGAUGCUGCGCGCACUACUUGCGGAUUUGUUUAUAGCUGGAAGUGAUACAAGUGCAACAACCUUUGAGUGGGCAAUGGCUGAGCUGCUACAAAACCCAUCAGCCAUGGCAAAAACUCGUGAAGAACUUGCACAAGUGAUUGGCUCCAAAUCAGAAAUCGAGGAAUCAGACAUUUGCCGACUCGAGUACCUCCAGGCUGUGGUGAAAGAAGUGUUCCGCCUUCACCCUCCCGCUCCAUUCUUGAUACCCCGCCAAGCCGAAGCGACCACACAGGUAAAGGGUUACACUGUGCCAAAGGACGCGCGCGUGAUGGUGAACGUCUGGGCGAUUGGCCGAGACAACGAGUUGUGGUCUGAACCAGAGAGGUUCUUGCCGGAGAGGUUCUUGGGGAAAGACAUGGAUUACCGAGGCCGAGAUUUUGAGCUCCUUCCAUUUGGUUCCGGCCGACGAAUCUGCCCAGGGAUGCCGUUGGCUGUGCGCAUGGUGCAUCUGAUGCUUGCGACACUGUUGUAUCGGUUUGAGUGGAGACUUACAAGAGAAGCGGAGGAGAAUGGAGUGGACAUGCGGGAGAAGUUUGGGAUAGUGCUAGCAUUAGCCACCCCUCUCCAGGCCAUAGGUGAACCGGUUUAA
This 1494-nucleotide ribosomal RNA is filed under the name Triticum aestivum (bread wheat). RNAcentral describes it as "partial small subunit ribosomal RNA". The record is from RNAcentral. Lineage: Eukaryota; Viridiplantae; Streptophyta; Magnoliopsida; Poales; Poaceae.